This 1411-nucleotide long non-coding RNA is filed under the name Salmo salar (Atlantic salmon). Its description in RNAcentral is "lncRNA (ENSSSAG00000085090.1)". The record is from RNAcentral. Lineage: Eukaryota; Metazoa; Chordata; Actinopteri; Salmoniformes; Salmonidae.
CGUCACUUCAUUAUUGGCUGCACCUGCGCAAUCAUGUGACGCGAUACAUUUUUUCAAAGACGUUUUUCAAGACACAGGAGAGGUCGGGUUGAAACAUUACUGAUGUUUCACGUUAAAAAUGGCUCUAAAGAUUGAUGCUAAACAACGUUUGACAUGUUUGAACAAUGUAAAUAGAUUAUUUUUUUUACUUUUCGCCGUGACUCCCCCCCGCUACUUUUUAGUAGCCUACCGAAGCGCUAACAACAUGGAACAACUUGGAGUUAUUUGGACAUCAAUUAUGAACUUUGUUGAAAGAAACCACAUUUGCAGUGGACCUGGGAUGCGUGGAAUUGCCAAUGGAUGAAGAGAAUCAAAGAUAUUCUAAAAGUGGAGGACAUCGAAUUUUCAGGAUUGUGGUCAUUGGUAACCUGAGCCGAGCAGGACAGUCAUCACACAAUACUUUGGCAGAAGUGCACCGCGCAGAAUCACCCCGGCCCGAGAAGGGUGACUGGUCUGAAAAAGAUUGGAUUCAAGAACAUGCUCUCUGUUAUGGAUACGACUCCAACGAUAGCUAUACAAGCCAAGCAGAAUCUACAAAGCCAGAGGACAUUGGGAAAGGACCCGCAUUAUCCAGGAUUCCUCAGAACAGCAGGCGCCAAAAAAAACAGAGAAUGUUGAACCGGCUCUACAAGAUCGUCGCCCAGAACAUUUUGUACCUUUGUUUUGAUUGUGACUGAUGCUCCAGCAACUGUACACAUUGCUACCCAGAACGGAUGUAAGGAUCUCUGCUGCCACUGAUUGGAACGAAUUGCAAAGAUUUCUGAAGCUGGUGUCUUAUAUCUCCCUCUCGAACUUUAAGCGUCAGCUGUCAGAGCAGUUUACUUAUCACUGUACACAGCCAAUCUGUAAAUAGCACACCCAACUACCUCAUCCCCAUAUUAUUACGUACCCUCUUGCUCUUUUGCAGCCCAGUAUCUCUACUUACACAUCAUCUGCACAUCUAUCACUCCAGUAUUAAUGCUAAAUUGUAAUUAUUUCGCCUCUAUGACCUAUUUAUUGCCUACCUCCCUACAUUUACACACACAACAGAUUUUUCUAUUAUUCUUUUUUAUUGUGUUAUUUACUGUACGUUUGUUUAUGUGUAACUCUGUGCUGUUGUUUUUGUCGCACGGCUAUGCUUUCUUGGCCAGGUCGCAGUUGUAAAUGAGAACUUGUUCUCAACUGGCCUACCUGGUUAAAUAAAGGUGAAAAAAAAUGUUCUCCCUGUUAAAAUAGUGCCCCAAAAUAAUCCCAAGAUAAUUAAAUACAAAUUGCAUACAUUGCAGAAAUUAUUCAGAUUGUUCUUAAACUUCCAGCACAUACACAUCUUGACCAUUCCCACUUUGAAAGCCUCAGAUGGCUCAAAGUGCAGGAGAGAGCGUUUCAGAUUAAA